CAAUAGCGUAUAUUAAAGUUGUUGCAGUUAAAAAGCUCGUAGUUGGAUUUGUGGCUGUCACGGGCGGCCUAUCACUUAGUGUUAGUGCUUGCCUGUGUCGCCAUCCUUGGGUGGAGCCCGUGUGGCAUUAGGUUGUCGUGCGGGGGAUGCCCAUCGUUUACUGUGAGAAAAUUGGAGUGUUCAAAGCAGGCUUAUGCCGUUGAAUAUGUUAGCAUGGAAUAAUAAGAUAGGACCUCGGUACUAUUUUGUUGGUUUGCGCACCGAGGUAAUGAUUAAUAGGGACAGUUGGGGGUAUUCGUAUUUCAUUGUCAGAGGUGAAAUUCUUGGAUUUCUGAAAGACGAACUACUGCGAAAGCAUUUACCAAGGAUGUUUUCAUUAA
RNAcentral lists this ribosomal RNA (380 nucleotides) under uncultured eukaryote. RNAcentral's name for it is "partial 18S ribosomal RNA". It matches the Rfam family "Eukaryotic small subunit ribosomal RNA", at positions 592 to 976 of the family's 1831-position model. The record is from RNAcentral.